Molecule: ribosomal RNA, 491 nt
Filed under: uncultured bacterium
Lineage: Bacteria
Description: partial 16S ribosomal RNA
Rfam family: Bacterial small subunit ribosomal RNA
Source: RNAcentral
AGUGAACGCUGGCGGUAGGCCUAACACAUGCAAGUCGAACGGCAGCACAGUAAGAGCUUGCUCUUACGGGUGGCGAGUGGCGGACGGGGGAGGAAUACAUCGGAAUCUACUUUUUCGUGGGGGAUAACGUAGGGAAAAUUACGCUAAUACCGCAUACGACCUACGGGUGAAAGCAGGGGAUCUUCGGACCUUGCGCGAUUGAAUGAGCCGAUGUCGGAUUAGCUAGUUGGCGGGGUAAAGGCCCACCAAGGCGACGAUCCGUAGCUGGUCUGAGAGGAUGAUCAGCCACACUGGAGCUGAGACGCGGUCCAGACUCCUACGGGAGGCAGCAGUGGGGAAUAUUGGACAAUGGGCGCAAGCCUGAUCCAGCCAUACCGCGUGGGUGAAGAAGGCCUUCGGGUUGUAAAGCCCUUUUGUUGGGAAAGAAAAGCAGCAGGUUAAUACCCCGCUGUUCUGACGGUACCCAAAGAAUAAGCACCGGCUAACUUCGU